RNAcentral lists this microRNA (28 nucleotides) under Canis lupus familiaris (dog). RNAcentral's name for it is "miRNA (ENSCAFG00845025437.1)". Lineage: Eukaryota; Metazoa; Chordata; Mammalia; Carnivora; Canidae. The record is from RNAcentral.
CAAUAUUUGGGACAUACUUAUGCUAAAA